Molecule: long non-coding RNA, 388 nt
Organism: Synchiropus splendidus (mandarinfish)
Lineage: Eukaryota; Metazoa; Chordata; Actinopteri; Syngnathiformes; Callionymidae
Exons: 3
Source: RefSeq, a predicted model, not a curated record
UGUUUUUUGUUUUAUUCAACGCCUGUGCGUAUGAAAACAGACGAUCAGUCAGAGGUCGAAGGAGUAGGGCACACGCUCGUUGAUUCUUUGACUCACCAGACGCCUCAGCUGAUAGGAGAUACAAAGACAACGAGCACGCCACACCUUCUACCUGUCGCUUCAACACCAACACCAACACCAACGUUUGCUCUCCCCUCUGGGUCUUGGCCUUUGUGGGAGACAUCGACGCCGGUUUCCUCAGUACCUCUGGAUCUACUAUCCGGACCGUUCCCUGCUGAAGACUCGACGUCGGCAUCUGGGCUAUCCGCACCUCCACAGCCACCGUCGCCGACACCAUCAGCACAGCCAGCAACCACAGACAAGCCGCGGACAUCGCCCCGGAUACCAA